GAUGGAGCACGCCGCGUGAGUGAAGAAGGCUUUCGGGUCGUAAAACUCUGUUGUUGGAGAAGAAUGGUCGGCAGAGUAACUGUUGUCGGCGUGACGGUAUCCAACCAGAAAGCCACGGCUAACUACGUGCCAGCAGCCGCGGUAAUACGUAGGUGGCAAGCGUUAUCCGGAUUUAUUGGGCGUAAAGCGAGCGCAGGCGGUUUUUUAAGUCUGAUGUGAAAGCCCUCGGCUUAACCGAGGAAGCGCAUCGGAAACUGGGAAACUUGAGUGCAGAAGAGGACAGUGGAACUCCAUGUGUAGCGGUGAAAUGCGUAGAUAUAUGGAAGAACACCAGUGGCGAAGGCGGCUGUCUGGUCUGUAACUGACGCUGAGGCUCGAAAGCAUGGGUAGCGAACAGGAUUAGAUACCCUGGUAGUCCAUGCCGUAAACGAUGAAUGCUAGGUGUUGGAGGGUUUCCGCCCUUCAGUGCCGCAGCUAACGCAUUAAGCAUUCCGCCUGGGGAGUACGACCGCAAGGUUGAAACUCAAAGGAAUUGACGGGGGCCCGCACAAGCGGUGGAGCAUGUGGUUUAAUUCGAAGCAACGCGAAGAACCUUACCAGGUCUUGACAUCUUUUGAUCACCUGAGAGAUCAGGUUUCCCCUUCGGGGGCAAAAUGACAGGUGGUGCAUGGUUGUCGUCAGCUCGUGUCGUGAGAUGUUGGGUUAAGUCCCGCAACGAGCGCAACCCUUAUGACUAGUUGCCAGCAUUUAGUUGGGCACUCUAGUAAGACUGCCGGUGACAAACCGGAGGAAGGUGGGGGAUGACGUCAAAUCAUCAUGCCCCUUAUGACCUGGGCUACACACGUGCUACAAUGGAUGGUACAACGAGUUGCGAGACCGCGAGGUCAAGCUAAUCUCUUAAAGCCAUUCUCAGUUCGGACUGUAGGCUGCACUCGCCUA
RNAcentral lists this ribosomal RNA (939 nucleotides) under Lacticaseibacillus paracasei. RNAcentral's name for it is "bacterial SSU rRNA". It matches the Rfam family "Bacterial small subunit ribosomal RNA", at positions 385 to 1318 of the family's 1533-position model. The record is from RNAcentral. Lineage: Bacteria; Bacillati; Bacillota; Bacilli; Lactobacillales; Lactobacillaceae.